This 211-nucleotide long non-coding RNA is filed under the name Ursus maritimus (polar bear). Its description in RNAcentral is "lncRNA (ENSUMAG00000016781.1)". The record is from RNAcentral. Lineage: Eukaryota; Metazoa; Chordata; Mammalia; Carnivora; Ursidae.
AGAGUGAAGUACUUGUCGAGAAGCCAUCGAGUGUUUCCAAAACACAGUGAGCCGAGGGGAGCUGCACUUCUUGAUGAUUGACCAUGUAACCCAGGAGAGAUUCGUGGAUGAGGUCACUUUGUCCAGUGAUGCUCCAGGAUGGUCACCCAGGAACUUUUCAUCAGCUAGCCAAGAAACCAGUGGAAUUGCUGAGCGGACGGCAGGAGUCUGA